RNAcentral lists this ribosomal RNA (253 nucleotides) under uncultured bacterium. RNAcentral describes it as "partial 16S ribosomal RNA". It matches the Rfam family "Bacterial small subunit ribosomal RNA", at positions 524 to 776 of the family's 1533-position model. The record is from RNAcentral.
UACGUAGGUGGCAAGCGUUGUCCGGAUUUACUGGGCGUAAAGAGCGCGCAGGCGGUCGAUCAAGUCGCGUGUGAAAGCCCCCGGCUCAACUGGGGAGGGUCACGCGAUACUGAUCGACUCGAAGGCAGGAGAGGGUAGUGGAAUUCCCGGUGUAGUGGUGAAAUGCGUAGAUAUCUGGAGGAACACCGGUGGCGAAGGCGGCAUCCUGGACCGGUAUUGACGCUGAGGCGCGAAAGCCAGGGGAGCAAACGGG